GAACUAUUAAGAGUGGAAAAGACAAAACCUAGGAAUGUGUAGUAUUUCUGUUCCAUCAGUAGGAAAGAAACUGAAUGAGAACAGAAUAGUACUCUUCUCUUAUCAGAAAAAUGGAGAUCAUACUGAUUAAUUAUAGAUCAUGAAUCAUACAGCAAACAAUGGUCAUAUACAAAUGCACACUGCAACACAUUUCAAUUUUAAAUUACAGGAAACUCACAGCAAAGGUUAUUAUUAGUUAGUGCAGAAUUCAAGUAGCACCACCUUCGCACACUAAAGUUUGGAGUAUAAGCUUACGUGAAUGCAUUACUGUAGCAUGUGUUUAUGCCUGUAAAGUGCUUUUUAUUACAUGUACACAAACAUAAGAGCAGUAGCUUAUCAAGUGAUAAAUUCUAAUCAGCGUAUUAUUUAGUACGACUGAAAAGUGAAUUAAGAAAUAAUAAGUGAAAUUUACUCAGGUGAUUAGAAACCAUCUUUCAAAGAACUGAAGAAUUGGGCUCAAGCUCUAGAAAUAUACCAGGGAGAUUGUAUUUUUUGCAUGCAGAUUGGUGACUUCACUUCUGAAGCGAUCAUGUGGUGAUGUCCUAAUUAUUAACUGCUCAAUAAGUUACUCUUUUAAGACGGAGUUAGUCACAGCACACAUAAACAAAAGUUAGUCACAUCAAUGCCAUUCUAAAUCUCAACCAAGGGGCAAAGCAAACCUUCAAAGUCUCUAGGUUUCCCUCAAGUUCAGGCUCUCCUUCCUCAAAGAAUGAGACCUCCUAAGAAUAUCAAAUGACACUGUCAAAUCAAACAUCUAGCCAGUGUGGUAGAAUGUAUCACAAUGCUACAUGACACCAUGAUAAAUAAAUUAUAAACUCAACGGAUCUAUUUAAAGGUCUCUUGACCACUUGUGACUUGUUAGUACUGUGGCAUCAUAGCAAGCCAAUUCUAAACAGGCCCAGCUUUUCAGGUCUCAAAUAACUUAAAAGGCAAUUAGGUGAUCACAACAAACUGAUUUAUUUUGAAGUUCAGUUAACAUCUUGAUGGAAACACCAUGAUAUAAAUAGACAAUGUUUGGAUUAUAUUUGCAUCAAGAGAUGAGGUAAGACAGUCCCACAUCUGAACUAAUUACCUGACCAGCAG
This 1122-nucleotide long non-coding RNA is filed under the name Triticum aestivum (bread wheat). RNAcentral's name for it is "long non-coding RNA (TAES_LNC006785)". Lineage: Eukaryota; Viridiplantae; Streptophyta; Magnoliopsida; Poales; Poaceae. The record is from RNAcentral.